UAGAGUUUGAUCAUGGCUCAGGAUGAACGCUGGCGGCGUGCUUAACACAUGCAAGUCGAACGGGGUUAUCAUUUUUGAAGCGAUUAGCUUGCUAAGAGUGGAAAAGUUGAUAACUUAGUGGCGGACGGGUGAGUAACGCGUGGGUAACCUGCCUUACACAGGGGGAUAACACUUAGAAAUAGGUGCUAAUACCGCAUAAGCGCACAGUCCCGCAUGGGACAGAGUGAAAAACAUUAGUGGUGUAAGAUGGACCCGCGUCUGAUUAGCUGGUUGGCGGGGUAACGGCCCACCAAGGCGACGAUCAGUAGCCGGCCUGAGAGGGUGGACGGCCACAUUGGGACUGAGACACGGCCCAAACUCCUACGGGAGGCAGCAGUGGGGGAUAUUGGACAAUGGGGGAAACCCUGAUCCAGCGACGCCGCGUGAGUGAAGAAGUAUUUCGGUAUGUAAAGCUCUAUCAGCAGGGAAGAAAGAAAUGACGGUACCUGAGUAAGAAGCCCCGGCUAACUACGUGCCAGCAGCCGCGGUAAUACGUAGGGGGCAAGCGUUAUCCGGAAUUACUGGGUGUAAAGGGAGCGUAGACGGUAAUGCAAGUCUGGAGUGAAAGGCGGGGGCCCAACCCCCGGACUGCUCUGGAAACUGUGUAACUGGAGUGCAGGAGAGGCAGGCGGAAUUCCUAGUGUAGCGGUGAAAUGCGUAGAUAUUAGGAGGAACACCAGUGGCGAAGGCGGCCUGCUGGACUGUAACUGACGUUGAGGCUCGAAAGCGUGGGGAGCAAACAGGAUUAGAUACCCUGGUAGUCCACGCCGUAAACGAUGAUUACUAGGUGUGGGUGGGUAUGGACCCAUCGGUGCCGCA
This 858-nucleotide ribosomal RNA is filed under the name uncultured bacterium. RNAcentral's name for it is "bacterial SSU rRNA". It matches the Rfam family "Bacterial small subunit ribosomal RNA", at positions 1 to 850 of the family's 1533-position model. The record is from RNAcentral.